RNAcentral lists this transfer RNA (90 nucleotides) under Escherichia coli. RNAcentral describes it as "tRNA-Leu". The record is from RNAcentral. Lineage: Bacteria; Pseudomonadati; Pseudomonadota; Gammaproteobacteria; Enterobacterales; Enterobacteriaceae.
GCCUGCAGGGUGGCUGUUUUCAUGCCGCUGGCGCUCAGUGCGCCUGCGUCCGCGUCGUAGCGGAACACCGUGCCAUCCGGCGCGCUGACC